This is a non-coding RNA of Ahaetulla prasina, 474 nucleotides long. The record is from the annotation of a RefSeq genome assembly. Lineage: Eukaryota; Metazoa; Chordata; Lepidosauria; Squamata; Colubridae.
AUGAUCCUGUGGAUAAACUUGGUGUUUUUACUAGCUGUCCUUAGAGGUGUCCAAUCUGAGGUCCAGUUGGUGGAAUCUGGAGGGGAUGUGAGAAGACCUGGGGAGUCCCUCCGUCUCUCCUGCCAAGCCUCUGGAUUCAGCUUCAGCGACUAUUACAUGGGCUGGAUGAGACAGGCUCCUGGGAAAGGACUUGAAUGGGUGGCCUACAUAACCACUGGUUCCAGUACUUAAUACUCAGACAAAGUCAAGGACCGCUUUACCAUCUCCAUGGACAAUGCCAAAAGCCAGCUGUAUCUGCAAAUGAGCAGCCUCAAAGCUGAAGACACGGCUGUCUAUUACUGUGCCGGAGACACAGUGAGAGGAAGUGAAUCUGAAGCCAGGCCUAACCUUCCUCUUUAUAUGACAUUAUCUCCCACCCUCCUCAACCCGGUGGCUGAAGAGCAAAAGCCAGUCUGCCUGGAACUUCUCCACUGA